Pygocentrus nattereri (red-bellied piranha) is the source of this 589-nucleotide long non-coding RNA. The record is from Ensembl. NCBI's taxonomy places the organism in Eukaryota, Metazoa, Chordata, Actinopteri, Characiformes, Serrasalmidae.
UCAUUAACAGAGGUAGGUCUUUGUUUCCACUCAUGUCCAUUGUAUCUCUCUGUCAGUGCGUCAGAAGUCGUGUGUGGGGCGUCUGGGCGGCCGAGUGGAUGGCGUGGAUGCUGAGCGGGAGCGGCUGCUGGUGCAGGGUUUGAGAGAACGCUGUGAGGAACAGGCCCGGCAGAUCACCUCCCUCCAGGACAAACUCCGCAAAGCCUCGCUUUGUAUGGAUGUACUUGCCAUCACCACACAGCAGUUCUGCCACAAGAGUGAGAAUGCCGAGGUGAAGGAGAGGGAGCUGUCCCUGGAGCUUUCUCGGAUCAGGGAUGAAGUGGGUAAGUGGCACUGAGGCUGCUCUGACUCAUCCUGUACCCACACUUGCCUCCAUCAUGAGGUAGUACACUGGAAAUGGUAGCAUGAUGUCAAGAAGUUAACCAGCUUUUAUAAAAGAUUCAAACUUGAUGACAUCCAACAGACCACCCUUUACUUUUGUCUACUGUUGAGUUGUUAUUUUAUCUUACUAUAAGCUAUAUAUAUCGGUGCUGUCCAAAAAACAUGUAUCUGCAGAAUAGUAACUUUACAGGAAAGUGCAAAAGUGUUC